This 881-nucleotide ribosomal RNA is filed under the name Pinnularia borealis complex sp. Its description in RNAcentral is "partial 28S ribosomal RNA". It matches the Rfam family "Eukaryotic large subunit ribosomal RNA", at positions 41 to 983 of the family's 3401-position model. Lineage: Eukaryota; Bacillariophyta; Bacillariophyceae; Sellaphorales; Pinnulariaceae. The record is from RNAcentral.
UAUUAUUAAGCGGAGGAAAAGAAACUAACCAAGAUUGACAUAGUAAGGGCGACUGAAAUGUCACUAGCUCAGCAUGUGAAUCAGCGUUCACUUUAGUAAGCGCUGAAUUGUGGUCUUAGGGUUGUUGCACCAUUGAGGCCAGACUAUGUUUUUUGGAAUAAAAUAGCAAAGAGGGUGAAACUCCCGUUUGUCUGGCCUUACGAAGCAUCAACUAUUGAGUCGAGUUGUUUGGGAUUGCAGCUCAAAUGCGGUGGUAAAUUCCAUCUCAAGCUAAAUAUUAGCAGGAAACCGAUAGCGAACAAGUACCGUGAGGGAAAGAUGCAAAGAACUUUGAAAAGAGAGUGAAAGAGUACCUGAAAUUGCUGAAAAGGAAGCGAACGAAGCUAGUGAAAGCUCUGUCAUACUUUCCAAUUUGCUUGCAAUUUGGACGCUGUGACUAGCUAAGUCCGACUGGAUUGCAAUAAGCGAAAAUGGGCCCAGGAAAGACUUAUUUCCUUUGCCUACAGCGAUUGCUGUGAUUCAGUCGAACCAAAUAGCUUUGUUUGUCCCGUCUAGAAACACGGACCAAGGAGUCUAACAUAUGUGCGAGUACUGGGGUAGCCAACCUUGGUGCGCAAUGAAAGUGUCAGAGGCUAGAAGCAAUCAAGCUUGCAUAGUCCGCCGGCCUCCAUCCCUCGGGAAAAUGGUCUGAGUGUGAGCAUACAUGUUGGGACCCGAAAGAUGGUGAACUAUGCUUGAGUAGGGUGAAGCCAGGGGAAACUUUGGUGAAGGCUCGCAGCGAUUCUGACGUGCAAAUCGAUCGUCAAACUUGAGUAUAGGGGCGAAAGACUAAUCGAACUAUCUAGUAGCUGGUUCCCUCCGAAAUUUCCCUUAGGAUAGCU